UGGAAGAGAAACAGGGUGUGGCAGUUGGUACCGCUGUCUUGUACAUCGCUAUACAUAUGCAGUGCGUCUCUGAGAUUACUUAUAGCUUAUAGCCUUCUUGCCUUCCAUGUAAUAUAUACCGCAUACAUUACCAGAGCUUUAUCUCUUACCUAGGUUCAGAUGUAGCUUUAUCUCUUACCUAGGUUCAGAUGUGCUUAUAGGUAACUAUUAAGUUUCUAGGGGAAUACGUUUGCCUGCCUGAUAUGUACUCUUAACUACUUGCGUGACCAUCAUUGUUCAUUUUAUCUUGAUGAGUGAUUCUUUGUCCCACUGGAAAAUCU
Molecule: long non-coding RNA, 320 nt
Filed under: Setaria italica (foxtail millet)
Lineage: Eukaryota; Viridiplantae; Streptophyta; Magnoliopsida; Poales; Poaceae
Description: long non-coding RNA (SITA_LNC004036)
Source: RNAcentral